AAGUCGUAACAAGGUUUCCGUAGGUGAACCUGCGGAAGGAUCAUUACCAAUAUUAGCGAACCUGGUCGCUUUUGACCAAGGUUUCGUGAAAUUUGUAUUUAAAACCCACGCUUUUUUAAAUAAUAAUUAUUGUAUCAGUUAUGAUAAAAAAAAGAUCACUUUCAACAACGGAUCUCUUGGCUCUC
This 185-nucleotide unclassified non-coding RNA is filed under the name fungal sp. RNAcentral describes it as "partial internal transcribed spacer region". The stretch from base 1 to 46 matches the Rfam family "Eukaryotic small subunit ribosomal RNA", at positions 1786 to 1831 of the family's 1831-position model. The record is from RNAcentral. Lineage: Eukaryota; Fungi.